Molecule: ribosomal RNA, 249 nt
Filed under: uncultured Actinomycetales bacterium
Lineage: Bacteria; Bacillati; Actinomycetota; Actinomycetes; Actinomycetales
Description: partial 16S ribosomal RNA
Rfam family: Bacterial small subunit ribosomal RNA
Source: RNAcentral
GGGGUGCUCGAGUGGCGAACGGGUGAGUAACACGUGAGUAACCUGCCCUUGACUUUGGGAUAACUUCAGGAAACUGGGGCUAAUACCGGAUAGGAGCUCCUGCUGCAUGGUGGGGGUUGGAAAGUUUCGGCGGUUGGGGAUGGACUCGCGGCUUAUCAGCUUGUUGGUGGGGUAGUGGCUUACCAAGGCUUUGACGGGUAGUCGGCCUGAGAGGGUGACCGGCCACAUUGGGACUGAGAUACGGCCCAG